Molecule: long non-coding RNA, 1350 nt
Organism: Pseudophryne corroboree (corroboree frog)
Lineage: Eukaryota; Metazoa; Chordata; Amphibia; Anura; Myobatrachidae
Exons: 3
Source: RefSeq, a predicted model, not a curated record
CAAACAAAUGCCACAACAUCUGUUCCAAAAAAAAACAACUUUGUGACUUUGUGUAGCUGAUUGGUCCAGUAAAAUGUGGGCAAGCACAACGGCAAGCUCAGGAAGGAAGCCCGCCAGCCACCUCACCAGCACAAACUCCUUCCCCCGCUCUAGUCCCUGAACACCAACAAAAUAUCUCCCCUUCCUCAUCCACAACCUCCCCCUCUCCAACCCCCUCACCCUCUCUUUCCCAAACACUCUCUCCGCCCCCCUCCCCCUCUGUGGCACAAAGCCCAUCUCAGCCCCCCUCCCCCUCUCUGACACAAACCCCCUCUCCGCCCCCCUCCCCUUCUGUGGCACAAAGCCCCUCUCCACCCCCCUCCCCCUCUCUGACACAAACCCCCUCUCCGGCCUACUACCCCUCUGUGGCCCAACCCACCUAUCAGCCCCCCUCCCCCUCUGUGGCCCAACCCACCUCUCCCCCACCCUCCCCCUCUCAAUCAGACCCACCCAGAGGAGGAUUGGCCAUAGAGUUUACAGGGAAGAUUCCCAGUGUGCCGACGCACCCGUGGGGCCUGUUUUGUUUGAGGACAUGUGGUCCUUUUUAUAGACAUAAUGAAUAAGAUGCAAAAUAAUUUGCAUAUAUGAAAAUUACUUUGCCACUUAGCCUGUGAUUGCAGAUGAUCUAGUGUAUGCUCUGUCUGCCUGCUUGGCUGACAUAUAAGAUUGAGUGAAUAGUGACUGGGAUACAGUUGGUGUAAUAAGCAAGAAAAUAUAUCUUUCUAAAGAAUGAUAUAGUUUCCUAAAUUCUGAAGGUGUAUCAUAUAAUGUGCUCAUAAUAUUUAAUUGUAUUUAUUUUUAACUUCCCCCUUGAUGCUGGACAUGCCCACUAUCUGUAAAGUCUUGGAGGAAGGGUGCUGCUGCCAGGGCCCAUGGCUAGACCUUACACCUCUGGUGCUGCCCAUGUGGGGCCACUAGUACAAAUUUUUCCAGGGCCGCUUUUUGUUCCCAAUCUGCCCCUGGACCCACCCUCUGGAACCAGCUCCCCCUUUCAUCCUCCUUCCCCAAUCCAGACUCCUUCCCCCAUCCAGCCUUCUUCCCCCAUCCAGCCUCAUUCCCCACCAACUGAAUGGGCAGCAGAGGCCCCGGAGGAACUUCAGGGAGGUGCACAUGUGGCUGAGGAGAAUGUUGCCGUUGGAGAUCCCACCAGUUUGCCAGGGAUUGUGGCAAGCCUUAAAGGCAACUUGAGGGCCGUGAUUGCGGACCUGGAAAAAUUAGAACAAUUUUUCUAAUUUUAAAAAUGUUACAUUUUGAUUAUAGUUCUUUGCCCGAAAAACUGUGAAUAAAGCAAAAAAUUGUUGUUUAAGUUAA